Molecule: small nuclear RNA, 103 nt
Organism: Acomys russatus (golden spiny mouse)
Lineage: Eukaryota; Metazoa; Chordata; Mammalia; Rodentia; Muridae
Source: RefSeq, a predicted model, not a curated record
AAGGCUUUGUGCUUGCUACUUAGAAUUGCAACAGACAUGGGAGAUUAGCACUACAGCCCUGCACAAGGAUGACAUGCAAAUUUGUGAAGCAUUCCAUACUUUA